ACACUGGAACAGAGAGUGGAGACAGGUGGUAGUUAUAGAACACUGGAACAGAGAGUGGAGACAGGUGGUAGUUAUAGAACACUGGAACAGAGAGUGGAGACAGGUGGUAGUUAUAGAACACUGGAACAGAGAGUGGAGACAGGUGGUAGUUAUAGAACACUGGAACAGAGAGUGGAGACAGGUGGUAGUUAUAGAACACUGGAACAGAGAGUGGAGACAGGUGGUAGUUAUAGAACACUGGAACAGAGAGUGGAGACAGGUGGUAGUUAUAGAACACUGGAACAGAGAGUGGAGACAGGUGGUAGUUAUAGAACACUGGAACAGAGAGUGGAGACAGGUGGUAGUUAUAGAACACUGGAACAGAGAGUGGAGACAGGUGGUAGUUAUAGAACACUGGAACAGAGAGUGGAGACAGGUGGUAGUUAUAGAACACUGGAACAGAGAGUGGAGACAGGUGGUAGUUAUAGAACACUGGAACAGAGAGUGGAGACAGGUGGUAGUUAUAGAACACUGGAACAGAGAGUGGAGACAGGUGGUAGUUAUAGAACACUGGAACAGAGAGUGGAGACAGGUGGUAGUUAUAGAACACUGGAACAGAGAGUGGAGACAGGUGGUAGUUAUAGAACACUGGAACAGAGAGUGGAGACAGGUGGUAGUUAUAGAACACUGGAACAGAGAGUGGAGACAGGUGGUAGUUAUAGAACACUGGAACAGAGAGUGGAGACAGGUGGUAGUUAUAGAACACUGGAACAGAGAGUGGAGACAGGUGGUAGUUAUAGAACACUGGAACAGAGAGUGGAGACAGG
Long non-coding RNA from Oncorhynchus keta (chum salmon), 806 nucleotides. RefSeq lists it as uncharacterized. The transcript is spliced from 3 exons. NCBI's taxonomy places the organism in Eukaryota, Metazoa, Chordata, Actinopteri, Salmoniformes, Salmonidae. The record is from RefSeq and is a predicted model, not a curated record.